Molecule: ribosomal RNA, 748 nt
Filed under: uncultured cyanobacterium
Lineage: Bacteria; Bacillati; Cyanobacteriota
Description: bacterial SSU rRNA
Rfam family: Bacterial small subunit ribosomal RNA
Source: RNAcentral
AGAGUUUGAUCAUGGCUCAGGAUGAACGCUGGCGGUCUGCUUAACACAUGCAAGUCGAACGGGCUCUUUCGGGAGCUAGUGGCGGACGGGUGAGUAACGCGUGAGAAUCUGCCAAAAGGACUGGGACAACCACUGGAAACGGUGGCUAAUACCGGAUGAGCCGCAACGUAAAAGAGGAAACCCGCCUUUUGAGGAGCUCGCGUCUGAUUAGCUAGUUGGUGAGGUAAGAGCUCACCAAGGCAUCGAUCAGUAGCUGGUCUGAGAGGAUGAUCAGCCACACUGGGACUGAGACACGGCCCAGACUCCUACGGGAGGCAGCAGUGGGGAAUUUUCCGCAAUGGGCGAAAGCCUGACGGAGCAAGACCGCGUGAGGGAGGAAGGCUCUUGGGUUGUAAACCUCUUUUGUCAGGGAAGAACACAAUGACGGUACCUGAAGAAUCAGCAUCGGCUAACUCCGUGCCAGCAGCCGCGGUAAUACGGGGGAUGCAAGCGUUAUCCGGAAUUAUUGGGCGUAAAGCGUCCGCAGGUGGCUAAUCAAGUCUGCUGUCAAAGACCGGGGCUUAACUUCGGAAAGGCAGUGGAAACUGAACAGCUAGAGUAUGGUAGGGGCAGAGGGAAUUCCUGGUGUAGCGGUGAAAUGCGUAGAGAUCAGGAAGAACAUCGGUGGCGAAGGCGCUCUGCUGGACCAUAACUGACACUCAGGGACGAGAGCUAGGGGAGCGAAUGGGAUUAGAUACCCCCGUAGUCC